AGCCAGCAUCUGCCUUGAAGCCCAUUCUUCCCACUCAGCUCAGUGGACGGGGCCAUCUUGAGUGUUCCUCUUCCCUCUGGUUCCACCCACCCUGUCAGCCGGGACCCUGAGCCCCAUAGUCCCCUCAUUGUCUCUAUCCUGUGGGGCGAGCGGGGGUCACAGGUCACCCUUCCCCUUUCUUCCUCCACAUAGGGAGCAAUCACUGUGAAUUGCCUAGCAUGGGCAACAGGGCCUGGUGCAAUUGUGCUAGCCGUGGGCUCCGUGGCAGUAGGACUCACAGGAAUGGGCUUCCUCUGGUGGAAUAAGGACAAGCAAUACAAGAUGCAGGAAAGGCAGUCCUCGGGUUACCUACAUCAUGUCCUGGUUACGACAGGAAUUGUUACCUUUCUUUUCAUUUUCUUUUACUGUUUCACUUCAUUUCUGACUGGCGACAACAAUGGCGUUAUGUCAAGCUAUAGAAACUGAUCUCCCAGGUUACCCGAGGACCUACUCUAUUAUUGACAGGAAUCCUUUCCAAUCCCCUGGCCAAAAGCAGAAGGCUCCACCUUCUUGGGGAAUGUGUGAAGCAACAUGCUAUACACAGCUUAUAUUUUGAGUAUAAACAAGUCAACUUUUGAGCAAAAUCAAAAUUAAUUAAAUACA
Myotis davidii is the source of this 642-nucleotide long non-coding RNA. RefSeq lists it as uncharacterized. The transcript has 2 exons. The record is from RefSeq and is a predicted model, not a curated record. Lineage: Eukaryota; Metazoa; Chordata; Mammalia; Chiroptera; Vespertilionidae.